This 425-nucleotide ribosomal RNA is filed under the name uncultured bacterium. RNAcentral's name for it is "partial 16S ribosomal RNA". It matches the Rfam family "Bacterial small subunit ribosomal RNA", at positions 354 to 796 of the family's 1533-position model. The record is from RNAcentral.
GUGGGGAAUAUUGCACAAUGGGCGAAAGCCUGAUGCAGCGACGCCGCGUGAGCGAAGAAGUAUUUCGGUAUGUAAAGCUCUAUCAGCAGGGAAGAUAAUGACGGUACCUGACUAAGAAGCACCGGCUAAAUACGUGCCAGCAGCCGCGGUAAUACGUAUGGUGCAAGCGUUAUCCGGAUUUACUGGGUGUAAAGGGAGCGCAGGCGGUGCGGCAAGUCUGAUGUGAAAGCCCGGGGCUCAACCCCGGUACUGCAUUGGAAACUGUCGUACUAGAGUGUCGGAGGGGUAAGCGGAAUUCCUAGUGUAGCGGUGAAAUGCGUAGAUAUUAGGAGGAACACCAGUGGCGAAGGCGGCUUACUGGACGAUAACUGACGCUGAGGCUCGAAAGCGUGGGGAGCAAACAGGAUUAGAAACCCUGGUAGUCC